This 237-nucleotide long non-coding RNA is filed under the name Gossypium barbadense (sea-island cotton). Its description in RNAcentral is "long non-coding RNA (GBAR_LNC003328)". Lineage: Eukaryota; Viridiplantae; Streptophyta; Magnoliopsida; Malvales; Malvaceae. The record is from RNAcentral.
GUGUAACUUUCAAAAAGCAACCUUUACAACCUACAAGGGAUGCACAGCCGUGCUUAGGUCGUGUGGACAAGAAAAUGGCUAAAAUCAAGCCAUUUCUUUCACCCUUCCCAAGCAUAAACCUAAGUAUUUUUGCACAUAUGAUCAAAGCUUCUAAAGAUGCUCAAAACCUGCAUAAAAAGGUCCAUACAAUAGACUAAUAAUCCAUACAACCAAUAUGCCAUUUAGGCACCUCAAGCA